Molecule: RNA transcript, 2730 nt
Organism: Lycium barbarum (goji berry)
Lineage: Eukaryota; Viridiplantae; Streptophyta; Magnoliopsida; Solanales; Solanaceae
Gene name: ubiquinol oxidase 2, mitochondrial
Exons: 5
Source: RefSeq, a predicted model, not a curated record
UAUAUCGUAAACCCUUCACACAACGCAAAAAAGAAAAAAAGAAAAGAAAAGAAAAUACUCUUACCUUCUUCCCCAAGUUUCUUUCUUUCCAACUUUCUGGCAAACAUAUUCUUCAUAACAUUUUGAUCGGAGUUAUUAUCAAAGAUGAUGACACGUGGAGCGUCAAGGAUGACCCGACUAGUAAUGGGUCAUAUGGGUCCACGUUACUUUUCAACUGCAGUUAUCCGAAAUGAUGGUUUAACCGGAGUUACCGGUUUGCCGGUGGAGAAAGCGGUGGUGACGUGGGCUAGGAAUUUUCCGGUGAUGGGUUCACGUAGUGCAAGUACCAUGGCUUUGAAUGAAAAGGAGCAAGAAAAGAAAGUGGAGAACGGCGGCGCUAAGGGCGGUGAUGAGAAAUCAGUAGUGAGUUAUUGGGGUGUUCAGCCAUCAAAGAUUACUAAACCAGAUGGUACUGAAUGGAAAUGGAAUUGUUUUAGGCCAUGGGAGACGUACCAGGCAGAUAUGUCAAUAGAUCUGACGAAACACCAUGCACCUGUCACGUUUCUGGACAAAUUUGCUUAUUGGACUGUUAAGUCCCUUCGAUACCCCACUGAUAUAUUUUUUCAGAGGAGAUAUGGUUGUAGAGCAAUGAUGCUGGAAACUGUUGCCGCAGUGCCUGGAAUGGUGGGAGGUAUGUUGUUGCACUGCAAGUCCCUGAGGCGAUUCGAACAGAGUGGUGGGUGGAUCAAAGCACUGUUGGAAGAAGCUGAAAAUGAGAGGAUGCAUCUCAUGACUUUCAUGGAAGUUGCCAAGCCAAAGUGGUACGAGCGAGCCUUGGUCUUCACAGUACAAGGUGUCUUCUUCAACGCCUACUUUGCGACUUACCUUCUUUCCCCAAAGUUGGCUCAUCGUAUCGUGGGGUACUUGGAAGAAGAGGCUAUCCAUUCGUACACUGAGUUCCUCAAGGAAUUGGACAAGGGUAACAUUGAGAACGUCCCUGCUCCUGCUAUUGCCAUUGAUUACUGGCGCCUACCUAAGGACUCCACUCUCCGUGAUGUUGUCUUGGUUGUUAGGGCUGAUGAGGCUCAUCACCGCGAUGUCAACCACUUUGCAUCCGACAUUCAUUAUCAAGGACAACAGCUGAAGGACUCGCCAGCACCACUUGGGUAUCACUAAGCCACUAAUAAUACAAAGAGAGAACAAAAUAAAUGUCACUAUUAUGUGUUCUGUUUUGGACUGGCCUCCAGGGUGACCAGGCCUGAUCAAUCGUUGGUGGCGCCAUUGAAUUCGUGAAGGAAUUGGAACAAAGUUUAUACAAUCUCUUGAACCUCAAAAAUUCUUACUAAUUAGAAGGUGGAAGGACCAAACACAACCUCCUUUGCAGCAGUCACAGUAUUUUUUGACCCCAUUUUCCCAACUUUUCUCUUAUCCACAGUACACACGUUGUCUGCAAGACAGGACUUGCAGACAUUGAAGUGAAUCUCAUUGAAACCUAUGCAAGCGUUAGAAUCAUCUCAAGUCAAUGGAGGGACUAUCAGCGAGAAGCCACUGCACUGUGAUAAUUGACCCGCAGAUCAAAUUUGUCGAACUUUAACAGUGACCGGCAGAAGAAGCUACAUCUUUGGAGAAAAGUGGGUGGAUUUUGCCCAUCUGUAAGAAAAUUGCAGAAGUGGUGGAAUUUUGAAGACGUGGGAUAAAAGGGUAUCAACAGCGAAAUCAAUUAAUAUCACUUGCAGUAUCUUCUCAAUGAUCUAGAACUUCAUAUUGCAUCUCACAGAGAUUUAUAGAUCGAUAAUCUAUCGGAUUGGGAGAAGAGAUCAAUGGAAGGAAUUAGCAGCAACAAGAGGGUUUGUGAAGGAGCAUGAGUGGUUUGCAAAGACUUUGAUGCCAUAAGAUUUGCAGCUGAAAGAAGAAACAGCGGCAAUCACUUCAGCAAUGCUUAAAUUCUCAGAGAUUAUUGAUGAUCUUGAACUAAUAGAUCUUUGAGGGAAUUAUACAUAGAACUGGGGGAAUAAUCACGAUAUCUCGUCAAGAAUCGACAGUUUUUUUGUUCUCAAUGAGUUGGAAUGAGGAUUUCAACAACAUAGAAUGAUCUUUGCCUCCAAAACUCUCAUCUGAUCAUUGUCCCAUUUUAUUACAGUGUGAAGGGAAUGGGAACAUAUACCAAGUCUGCAUUUUAAGUUUGAGAAUUGGUGGCUUGAUGUUAAGGGACUCACAGAAAAAGUGGAGUUCUCUUGAGGUGCAAGGAAGGCUUAACUACAUUUUAGCUUGCUAAUUGAGAUUGUUGAAAUCAAAAUUGAAAGAAUGGAAUGCCACUAUGGCAACCUGGAAAAUAAGAAAACUGGCGCAUUUAAUCAAAUUUUAGCUAUGGACAACUUGGAGGAACAGGAAGACUCAAUGAUGAGAAAUUCCUUGUAAAAAGCUAGUUUAGUGUUUGAGGAGAUUGCCAAAUAUGAAAAGAUACCAUGGAGGCAGAGAUCGAGGGUACUUUAGCUAAACAGGGGGAUAAAAAUACUAGUAGUAAGUUUUUUUCCAAAGGAUGACAAAUGCAUAUAGUAGAAGAUUUAAUAAUAAUGACGAGCUGGAACAGAGAAUUGGAGGCCUAAAUUCAAUCAUAUGAGACUUUGAUAAACAGGAGAUGCUUGAGUGUAUUAAAAUGUGAGAAGUUCACAAAGCCCCAGGUCCAGACGGAUAUCCAAUGAGUUCUUUUUUCAGAAAUAUUUGAAGGAAGACAUCAUGAAGACUUUGAAA